RNAcentral lists this ribosomal RNA (381 nucleotides) under uncultured eukaryote. Its description in RNAcentral is "SSU rRNA". It matches the Rfam family "Eukaryotic small subunit ribosomal RNA", at positions 587 to 972 of the family's 1831-position model. The record is from RNAcentral.
AGCUCCAAUAGCGUAUAUUUAAGUUGUUGCAGUUAAAAAGCUCGUAGUUGGAUUUCUGUCGAAAACGGCCGGUCCGCACUAUGUGCGUGUAUCUGGUUCGGUUUUGGCAUCCUCUUGAAGAACGUGUCUGCGCUUGAUUGCGUGGCGCGGUAUUCAAGACUUUUACUUUGAGGAAAUUAGAGUGUUCACGGCAGGCAAGCGCCUUGAAUAUAUUAGCAUGGAAUAAUAAUAUAGGAUUUUGGUUCUAUUUUGUUGGUUUCUAGGACUAGAAUAAUGAUUAAUAGGGAUAAUUGGGGGCAUUUGUAUUAACGCGUCAGAGGUGGAAUUCUUGGAUUGCGUUACGACAAACUACUGCGAAAGCAUUUGCCAAGGAUGUUUUCA